This 1431-nucleotide small RNA is filed under the name Pan troglodytes (chimpanzee). RNAcentral describes it as "retained intron". Lineage: Eukaryota; Metazoa; Chordata; Mammalia; Primates; Hominidae. The record is from RNAcentral.
AGGUCACGGGGCGGGGCCGAGGCGGAAGCGCCCGCAGCCCGCUACCGGCUCCUCCUGGGCUCCCUCUAGCGCCUUCCCCCCGGCCCGACUCCGCUGGUCAGCGCCAAGUGACUUACGCCCCCGACCCUGAGCCCGGACCGCUAGGCGAGGAGGAUCAGAUCUCCGCUCGAGAAUCUGAAGGUGCCCUGGUCCUGGAGGAGUUCCGUCCCAGCCCACGGUCUCCCGGUACUGUCGGGCCCCGGUCCUCUGGAGCUUCAGGAGGCGGCCGUCAGGGUCGGGGAGUAUUUGGGUCUGGGGUCUCAGGGAAGGGCGGCGCCUGGGUCUGUGGUAUCGGAAGGAGCCUGCUGGAGCCAAGUAGCCCUCCCUCUCUUGGGACAGACCCCUCGGUCCCAUGUCCAUGGGGGCACCGCGGUCCCUCCUCCUGGCCCUGGCUGCUGGCCUGGCCGUUGCCCGUCCGCCCAACAUCGUGCUGAUCUUUGCUGACGACCUCGGCUAUGGGGACCUGGGCUGCUAUGGGCACCCCAGCUCUACCACUCCCAACCUGGACCAGCUGGCGGCAGGAGGGCUGCGGUUCACAGACUUCUACGUGCCUGUGUCUCUGUGCACACCCUCUAGGGCCGCCCUCCUGACCGGCCGGCUCCCGGUUCGGAUGGGCAUGUACCCUGGCGUCCUGGUGCCCAGCUCCCGGGGGGGCCUGCCCCUGGAGGAGGUGACCGUGGCCGAAGUCCUGGCUGCCCGAGGCUACCUCACAGGAAUGGCCGGCAAGUGGCACCUUGGGGUGGGGCCUGAGGGGGCCUUCCUGCCCCCCCAUCAGGGCUUCCAUCGAUUUCUAGGCAUCCCAUACUCCCACGACCAGGUAGGAACCACCCGGGCCCUCAGCCACCCUCCCACCUCCCAAAGUCCCCCAGCCCUUGAUGCUCCCGCAGCCCCACCUGCCAGCCCAGCCCUCACGGCAGCUGCCCGCCUCAGGGCCCCUGCCAGAACCUGACCUGCUUCCCGCCGGCCACUCCCUGCGACGGUGGCUGUGACCAGGGCCUGGUCCCCAUCCCACUGUUGGCCAACCUGUCCGUGGAGGCGCAGCCCCCCUGGCUGCCCGGACUAGAGGCCCGCUACAUGGCUUUUGCCCAUGACCUCAUGGCCGACGCCCAGCGCCAGGAUCGCCCCUUCUUCCUGUACUAUGCCUCUCACGUAAGUGAUCUUGGCCCAACCCCCUGGCUGCCCAUGACCCCUACCCAGUGCUAACUCCAGUCUCUGCCCCCAGCACACCCACUACCCUCAGUUCAGUGGGCAGAGCUUUGCAGAGCGUUCAGGCCGCGGGCCAUUUGGGGACUCCCUGAUGGAGCUGGAUGCAGCUGUGGGGACCCUGAUGACAGCCAUAGGGGACCUGGGGCUGCUUGAAGAGACGCUGGUCAUCUUCACUGCAGACAAUGG